CAGUCGCCGCGGUAAAACAGAGGGUGCAAGCGUUAAUCGGAAUUACUGGGCGUAAAGCGCGCGUAGGUGGUUUGUUAAGUUGGAUGUGAAAUCCCCGGGCUCAACCUGGGAACUGCAUCCAAAACUGGCAAGCUAGAGUAUGGUAGAGGGUGGUGGAAUUUCCUGUGUAGCGGUGAAAUGCGUAGAUAUAGGAAGGAACACCAGUGGCGAAGGCGACCACCUGGACUGAUACUGACACUGAGGUGCGAAAGCGUGGGGAGCAAACAGGAUUAGAUACCCGGGUAGUCCCUGUCUCUUAUAC
This 301-nucleotide ribosomal RNA is filed under the name uncultured bacterium. RNAcentral describes it as "partial 16S ribosomal RNA". It matches the Rfam family "Bacterial small subunit ribosomal RNA", at positions 509 to 807 of the family's 1533-position model. The record is from RNAcentral.